Molecule: ribosomal RNA, 190 nt
Filed under: uncultured Glomeromycotina
Lineage: Eukaryota; Fungi; Glomeromycota
Description: partial 18S ribosomal RNA
Rfam family: Eukaryotic small subunit ribosomal RNA
Source: RNAcentral
UAGUAUUCAAUUGUCAGAGGUGAAAUUCUUGGAUUUAUUGAAGACUAACUACUGCGAAAGCAAUUGCCAAGGAUGUUUUCAUUAAUCAAGAACGAAAGUUAGGGGAUCGAAGACGAUCAGAUACCGUCGUAGUCUUAACCAUAAACUAUGCCGACUAGGGAUCGGAUGAUGUUAAUUUUUUAAUGACUCA